RNAcentral lists this ribosomal RNA (468 nucleotides) under uncultured bacterium. RNAcentral describes it as "partial 16S ribosomal RNA". It matches the Rfam family "Bacterial small subunit ribosomal RNA", at positions 28 to 507 of the family's 1533-position model. The record is from RNAcentral.
GAUGAACGCUGGCGGCGUGCUUAACACAUGCCAGUCGAACGGUGAAGGCGGAGCUUGCUCUGCUGGAUCAGUGGCGAACGGGUGAGUAACACGUGAGCAAUCUGCCCCUGACUCUGGGAUAAGCGCUGGAAACGGCGUCUAAUACUGGAUACGAGCUGCGAAGGCAUCUUCAGCAGCUGGAAAGUAUUUCGGUCAGGGAUGAGCUCGCGGCCUAUCAGCUUGUUGGUGAGGUAAUGGCUCACCAAGGCGUCGACGGGUAGCCGGCCUGAGAGGGUGACCGGCCACACUGGGACUGAGAGACGGCCCAGACUCCUACGGGAGGCAGCAGUGGGGAAUAUUGCACAAUGGGCGGAAGCCUGAUGCAGCAACGCCGCGUGAGGGACGACGGCCUUCGGGUUGUAAACCUCUUUUAGCAGGGAAGAAGCGAAAGUGACGGUACCUGCAGAAAAAGCGCCGGCUAACUACGUG